CCCUUAGAUGUCCGGGGCCGCACGCGCGCUACAAUGGAUGAAUCAACGCGUCAUCCUGGCCCGAAAGGGUUGGGGAACCGCUGAACCUCAUCCGUGGUUGGGAUUGGGGUUUGUAAUUAUUCCCCAUGAACUAGGAAUUCCCAGUAAGCGCGAGUCAUAAGCUCGCGUUGAUUACGUCCCUGCCCUUUGCACACACCGCCCGUCGCUACUACCGAUUGGAUGGUUUAGUGAGAUCCUCGGAUUGGUCACGGCACGGUGGCAACACUGCGUCGGUGUGCCGAGAAGACGAUCAAACUUGAUCAUCUAGAGGAAGUAAAAGUCGUAACA
Molecule: ribosomal RNA, 327 nt
Filed under: uncultured eukaryote
Lineage: Eukaryota
Description: partial 18S ribosomal RNA
Rfam family: Eukaryotic small subunit ribosomal RNA
Source: RNAcentral